UCUACAGCCGCGUCAGAAGCGAGUUUGUAUCGCGGGAUUACGCGACUUCCGGCAGCCGGGCGUCUCACGUGACCGGAGGCGCGUUCCCUGUGUAUCGUACAACGCAGACAUGGCGGGAGAUGACGGGGACCAGGAGAAGCAGCUCCGCCCGCUGACAGCAUGGGUGGGGGAGAUGUGAGCGGGUCUCCAUGGUCUGGAGCGCAAGCGGGAGGUUGCUUAGCAACACCCGAUGGCAUGGAUCCGGAAGUGAGGGACCGCGGACAUCCGGCAGCAGCCUCAGGGGAAGACGGAGACGGCGGCAUGACGGCUUGAAAGUGCCGCCAUGACUUCCGUUGUGGGGAUUCCAGCACCAGAGGAUAGAGAGGGUCAAUGAAAAACACGAAGUGCCCAAGGCAUACAUUUUCUGGACCUUCACUACUGCACAUGAACUGUGAACGCACCACUGUACUUUUCAGUACUCUAUGAUCGUUCUGAAUGUCCAUAAAAAGGUUAAUCAGUGGAGGAUGUUUUGUCUCGAGCCUUUAGUGAAAUGCAUUUGUACUAUCAUCAAGAUAAGACAAACUCCACUGUUCCAUCUGGAGCUGUGCUUUAAAACCACUUAACUGAUGAUUUUUCCCUUCAAAACAGUUCAUAAGAUUGUUUUUUUUAUUUAUUUUUUAUUAAUUUAAUAUAGAUUAAAAGGUAUUUUUUAAAAAUAUUUAAAUAUUAUAUUAUUCACAUCUGCAGAAUGGAUCUUCUCAUCAAAAACUGGGCGACACAUUGGGGCUGUGCGGUCCCAUGAGAUCUGACCAAGCCAGUUAAGUGGUUAAAUGAAGGGGCUUUUGCAUUAUAAAGUUCCUUUUAUUUGUGAACUACUGUUAUGUAAAUUUCAUACAAGAUGUCUCUAUAUGGAAUGUGAUGUUUUUAUUGAAAUGAAGAAAAAUUAAUAUAAAAAAGUUGGAAAUGUAAAAAUCAAUCAAUAAAAAUAAAUAAAUAAAUAAAUAAAUAAAUAAAGCUCUGCUAAUGCCCAUGUACCCACACCCCCUCCCCCAUAUCCCUACUACAGGUGUUGCACCCCCAACCUGCUGCCUCUUUCCUUAGCAGCGAGCAGAUAGGGUCUCCAGCCUACACGUCGGGAAUAUUGGGCAGGACUAUGUCAUCGUAGCUUAGCACCACACUCCCAACAUAACAAGUAAUGAGAAUGAGGAGCAGCAGAUGAGAGCUUCACAUGUUUCCUCUCUUCUUGUCAGUGGCAGGGUCUCCAGGUGCAUAUGCUGCCAGGAUGUUAAAAAUGUUACAUUAUGUUCUUCAUUGAGUAGGUAACCCUUAACCACUGGAUCCUCAGGUGGUUGCCUUCAGUUGGGUACACACUAAUAAAUAUAUUGCCCGUUACAUUGAACAGGGGAUAUAUUUCUGUAGUACAUUUGCUGGAAUGUACACCCAAUAUGUCUGAAUGCCGUUCACAGAUAUAUUAAUUCAGCCCUACAGCACAGCCUGUGCCGAUAUACCUUGCAGAUACUGUAUAUCGUUAUGUCUGGCUCUGUGUAUGGGCAACCCGCUCACCACCCGCAUGCUGACUGUAGGGCCUGACAUCACAGCUGAGUGGGUAAAUUUAAAUGCUCCCCCAGUUGUGAUGUUGGGGUAGGCACAUUGACCGGCUGACUGGUAACUGUAUGCGUACCAAAUCGGCUGCUAUGACAGCGGAUCCACUGGCAAAGUAUGUACUUAGAAACAGGGUCAUAUUCAAUUAUG
Long non-coding RNA from Pseudophryne corroboree (corroboree frog), 1731 nucleotides. RefSeq lists it as uncharacterized. Lineage: Eukaryota; Metazoa; Chordata; Amphibia; Anura; Myobatrachidae. The transcript has 3 exons. The record is from RefSeq and is a predicted model, not a curated record.